UACGUAGGAUGCAAGCGUUGUCCGGAAUUAUUGGGCGUAAAGAGCGCGCAGGCGGUCUAUCAAGUCAGAUGUGAAAUAUCCGGGCUUAACCCGGAGGGGUCAUUUGAAACUGGUAGACUAGAGUACAGCAGAGGAUAGCGGAAUUCCCGGUGUAGUGGUGAAAUGCGUAGAUAUCGGGAGGAACACCAGUGGCGAAGGCGGCUAUCUGGGCUGAAACUGACGCUGAGGCGCGAAAGCGUGGGGAGCAAACAGG
Molecule: ribosomal RNA, 253 nt
Filed under: uncultured bacterium
Lineage: Bacteria
Description: partial 16S ribosomal RNA
Rfam family: Bacterial small subunit ribosomal RNA
Source: RNAcentral